UGAAUACGAGAUGCUACGGCGUCGAAGCAGUCUAUGUCAUACUUCCAAGAAAAGCUUGCACUGUCAUAAACAAAUAAUGCCUGUACCAUAACCGACACAGGUGGGUAGGUAGAGUAUACUAAGGGGCGCGAGAUAACUCUCUCUAAGGAACUCGGCAAAAUGACUCCGUAACUUCGAGAGAAGGAGUGCCUUAUUUAUAAGGUUGCAAUAACAAGAUCCAAGCAACUGUUUACCAAAAACACAGGUCUCCGCUAAGUCGUAAGACGAUGUAUGGGGGCUGACGCCUGCCCAGUGCCAGAAGGUUAAAGAAGUUGGUUAGCAUCCGCGAAGCUGAUAACUGAAGCCCUGGUGAACGGCGGCCGUAACAAUAACGGUCCUAAGGUAGCGAAAUUCCUUGUCGGGUAAGUUCCGACCCGCACGAAAGGCGUAAUGAUUUGGAUACUGUCUCGGAGAGGGGCUCGGUGAAAUAGACUUGUCUGUGAAGAUGCGGACUACCUGCACCAGGACAGAAAGACCCUAUGAAGCUUUACUGUAACCUGAAAUUGAAAUUGGACUUUACUUGCGCAGUAUAGGUGGGAGGCGUUGAGAAUAUUCUUGCGGGAUUAUUGGAGCCAUCAGUGAGAUACCACUCUUGUAAUGUUAGAUUUCUAACUUUGUAUCAUUAUCUGGUCAAAGAACAGUUUCAGGCGGGCAGUUUGACUGGGGCGGUCGCCUCCUAAACGGUAACGGAGGCGCACAAAGGUUUCCUCUGAACGGGUAGAAAUCGUAUCUAGAGUGUAAAGGCAUAAGGAAGCUUGACUGUGAGACCUACAAGUCGAGCAGGGACGAAAGUCGGUCUUAGUGAUCUGACGGUGCUGAGUGGAAAGGCCGUCACUCAACGGAUAAAAGUUACUCUAAGGAUAACAGGCUGAUCUCCCCCAAGGGUUCACAUCGACGGGGAGGUUUGGCACCUCGAUGUCGGCUCAUCGCAUCCUGGGGCGGUAGUACGUCCCAAGGGUUGGGCUGUUCGCCCAUGAAAGCGGUACGCGAGCUGGGUUCAGAACGUCGUGAGACAGUUCGGUCCAUAUCCGGUGUAGGCGUUAGAAUAUUGAGAGGAGCCUUCUUUAGUACGAGAGGACCGAGAAGGACAUACCUCUGGUGUACCAGUUAUCGUGCCAACGGUAAACGCUGGGUAGCUAUGUGUGGAGUGGAUAACCGCUGAAAGCAUCUAAGUGGGAAGCCCACCUCAAGAUAAG
This 1235-nucleotide ribosomal RNA is filed under the name metagenome. RNAcentral describes it as "bacterial LSU rRNA". It matches the Rfam family "Bacterial large subunit ribosomal RNA", at positions 1564 to 2808 of the family's 2925-position model. The record is from RNAcentral.